CUCAACAGGGAAAGCUGAUUCCGGAGAGCCAGAGCACUGCAAGUCAAGGAGGGCUGAUAACAGAACACUUGGAACUCUGUAUUAAGCUAACUUAUUAAGAAUGGAGCUUUCAUUCCUUAUCAGUGGGCUGGCUAUAUGGACAUGGACUUGAACAGGCUGCAACCCUGUGAGCUUUUAAAGGUUAUGAAAGGCAUCAGAGACUCCCUCACCAACCUGAAUCAGUAGUAGAUAUCACUGGAGCCAAAGCAGCAGCUGAGAGAUGCGCUUGACCUAACUCAAAGGUAAAAGAAAUAUCAAAUACUGCAUGAUGCUGAGGAUAAAUCCCUGGGGCACUCCAUCAGAGAAGUACCUUUACAUCAGUAUCAAGAAACAAGAGUCUGGUUUAGAAAGAACUCUGGAUCUGAGACAGAUGACCGGGAUGUGAAUCUUGACUACAGCACUUACUCUACUUGCGACUUUAGUGACUUUGCCUGCCUACCACUUCCUGUCACUGACUUCUUGAUUCUGAAGACAGCUCAGGCUAUAGGACCCUGAUUUCACACUUGCUCCACUUGAACAUCAGGGUAAGAGGAGGUGAAGAAACAGAAGGUCCUGGAGAUUUAAUGACUUGCCUGAAGUAACACAGGUACUAAACACCAGAGAUGGGAUUUGAAACCAUAUGCUGUUUGUCUUCAUUUUUGAAGCAGACUGAUGACAUCAUGAAGUAAUGUUUUGAUUCCCGUGUAAAACAGAUUUAAGUGAGGCAGAGCUGCAAAAAGUUGUCAGCUUCAUUCACUCUUCAAGAGCCAUGGAAGUCCAGUGGCAAGACAAAAAUCUAAAUGACUGGCAAUGGCCCAGGAUACAGUGGAUGACCUUGGCAUU
This is a non-coding RNA of Phascolarctos cinereus (koala), 861 nucleotides long. Lineage: Eukaryota; Metazoa; Chordata; Mammalia; Diprotodontia; Phascolarctidae. The record is from RefSeq and is a predicted model, not a curated record.